Molecule: ribosomal RNA, 153 nt
Filed under: uncultured bacterium
Lineage: Bacteria
Description: partial 16S ribosomal RNA
Rfam family: Bacterial small subunit ribosomal RNA
Source: RNAcentral
UCCUACGGGAGGCAGCAGUAGGGAAUCUUCCGCAAUGGACGCAAGUCUGACGGAGCAAUGCCGCGUGAAUGAAGAAGGUCUUCGGAUUGUAAAGUUCUGUUAUCAGAGAAGAACAACUCAUAGAGUAACUGUUAUGAGUUUGACGGUACUACA